RNAcentral lists this ribosomal RNA (253 nucleotides) under uncultured bacterium. RNAcentral's name for it is "partial 16S ribosomal RNA". It matches the Rfam family "Bacterial small subunit ribosomal RNA", at positions 524 to 776 of the family's 1533-position model. The record is from RNAcentral.
CACGGAGGGUGCAAGCGGUAUUCGGAAUCACUGGGCGUAAAGAGCGCGUAGGCGGUCUCUUAAGUCAGAUGUGAAAGCCCGGGGCUUAACCCCGGAAGUGCAUUUGAAACUAAGGGUCUUGAGUAUGGGAGAGGGAAGUGGAAUUCCUGGUGUAGCGGUGAAAUGCGUAGAUAUCAGGAGGAACACCGGUGGCGAUGGCGACUUCCUGGACCAAUACUGACGCUGAAGCGCGAAGGCGUUGGGAGCAAACAGG